UUUCAGUUGAUUUUUUAUUUCAGUUGAUUUUUUAUUUCAGUUAUGAUUUCAGUUUCUAUUACAGUUUCUGUUUUAGUUUCUACUUAAUUUCAGUUUUGAUACGUGGACCUCACGUGGGUGGCUCAUCUAAGAUCAGUGCAAGCAGCAAUGGCUACGCAACUUGACCCGAGUGGACCGAAAUAGCAAUGUUUUUACCUUUAUCUUUGAUGUUCUGUCGACAAUUGACUUUAAUACCUUUGUCUUGGAUGUUUUGUUUGAGGAUUUGUUGUGAUGAAAUAUUAACACUUAUACUAAAUUUCCAAAGCACAAUGAAUCAGGAAAUGACGGAUUUUGUCGCAUAUACCGUCGCUUGCGACUAAGGAUGAACAGUCGCAGCUAAAACAAUGUUAUCAUUUGCGACCGUUCAUCCUUAGUUGCAAGGGACGGUAACGCCCAUGUCAUGAACGACAGUUUCGAAGUUAACACGACAAUUUCCGUCACAUCUGGACAUCUUGGCGAGCGGGCUAGCCACAAAAAUUCCUUGAACGUGCCUUGGGUUGUUUACCAUUAACAUGGAAAUUCCGGGGAUUCCAUACGCAAAGUAAAUGGAACAAGCAUAUUUCGACGGCCCAACCGGAACUAUUCAGGAAUAAACGGUUUGUUUGAAAAGGUUGUCCUCUCUUACCGAUUGGAACGUUUCAACCGGUGAAUUUUGUCCAUUUACACCGUUUUUGUUUUUCACCAGUUCCAGGCUCUUCGCGAUUUAAUACAAACCGAAUGGGUUUUCCAUGUAAACGGUAAACAACCCUUCAUUGCCUUCCGGUCAGUCACUCUAAAUGGAAAGCGCAUAAUCCGAAUGGGAUUUUCUAUCCGAAAUUUUGCUUACCAUUAGC
Molecule: non-coding RNA, 872 nt
Organism: Paramuricea clavata
Lineage: Eukaryota; Metazoa; Cnidaria; Anthozoa; Malacalcyonacea; Plexauridae
Source: the annotation of a GenBank genome assembly